RNAcentral lists this ribosomal RNA (396 nucleotides) under uncultured bacterium. RNAcentral describes it as "bacterial SSU rRNA". It matches the Rfam family "Bacterial small subunit ribosomal RNA", at positions 975 to 1375 of the family's 1533-position model. The record is from RNAcentral.
CUACCCUUGACAUGUAUGGAACCUGGCUGAGAGGUCGGGGUGCCCGAAAGGGAGCCAUAACACAGGUGCUGCAUGGCUGUCGUCAGCUCGUGUCGUGAGAUGUUGGGUUAAGUCCCGCAACGAGCGCAACCCUUGUCCCUAGUUGCUACGCAAGAGCACUCUAGGGAGACUGCCGGUGACAAACCGGAGGAAGGUGGGGAUGACGUCAAGUCCUCAUGGCCCUUAUGGGUAGGGCUUCACACGUCAUACAAUGGUCGGAACAGAGGGUCGCCAACCCGCGAGGGGGAGCCAAUCCCAGAAAACCGAUCGUAGUCCGGAUCGCACUCUGCAACUCGAGUGCGUGAAGCUGGAAUCGCUAGUAAUCGCGGAUCAGCAUGCCGCGGUGAAUACGUUCCC